GACGAACGCUGGCGGCGUGCUUAACACAUGCAAGUCGAACGGAAAGGCCCUGCUUUUGUGGGGUGCUCGAGUGGCGAACGGGUGAGUAACACGUGAGUAACCCGCCCUUGACUUUGGGAUAACUUCAGGAAACUGGGGCUAAUACCGGAUAGGAGCUCCUGCUGCAUGGUGGGGGUUGGAGAGUUUCGGCGGUUGGGGAUGGACUCGCGGCUUAUCAGCUUGUUGGUGGGGUAGUGGCUUACCAAGGCUUUGACGGGUAGCCGGCCUGAGAGGGUGACCGGCCACAUUGGGACUGAGAUACGGCCCAGACUCCUACGGGAGGCAGCAGUGGGGAAUAUUGCACAAUGGGCGGAAGCCUGAUGCAGCAACGCCGCGUGCGGGAUGACGGCCUUCGGGUUGUAAACCGCUUUCGCCUGUGACGAAGCGUGAGUGACGGUAAUGGGUAAAGAAGCACCGGCUAACUACGUGCCAGCAGCCGCGGUGAUACGUAGGGUGCGAGCGUUGUCCGGAUUUAUUGGGCGUAAAGGGCUCGUAGGUGGUUGAUCGCGUCGGAAGUGUAAUCUUGGGGCUUAACCCUGAGCGUGCUUUCGAUACGGGUUGACUUGAGGAAGGUAGGGGAGAAUGGAAUUCCUGGUGGAGCGGUGGAAUGCGCAGAUAUCAGGAGGAACACCAGUGGCGAAGGCGGUUCUCUGGGCCUUUCCUGACGCUGAGGAGCGAAAGCGUGGGGAGCGAACAGGCUUAGAUACCCUGGUAGUCCACGCUGUAAACGGUGGGUACUAGGUGUGGGGUCCAUUCCACGGGUUCCGUGCCGUAGCUAACGCUUUAAGUACCCCGCCUGGGGAGUACGGCCGCAAGGCUAAAACUCAAAGGAAUUGACGGGGCCCCGCACAAGCGGCGGAGCAUGCGGAUUAAUUCGAUGCAACGCGUAGAACCUUACCUGGGUUUGACAUGGAUCGGGAGCGCUCAGAGAUGGGUGUGCCUCUUUUGGGGUCGGUUCACAGGUGGUGCGUGGCUGUCGUCAGCUCGUGUCGUGAGAUGUUGGGUUAAGUCCCGCAACGAGCGCAACCCUUGUUCACUGUUGCCAGCACGUUAUGGUGGGGACUCAGUGGAGACCGCCGGGGUCAACUCGGAGGAAGGUGGGGAUGACGUCAAGUCAUCAUGCCCCUUAUGUCCAGGGCUUCACGCAUGCUACAAUGGCUGGUACAGAGAGUGGCGAGCCUGUGAGGGUGAGCGAAUCUCGGAAAGCCGGUCUCAGUUCGGAUUGGGGUCUGCAACUCGACCUCAUGAAGUCGGAGUCGCUAGUAAUCGCAGAUCAGCAACGCUGCGGUGAAUACGUUCCCGGGGCU
Molecule: ribosomal RNA, 1346 nt
Filed under: uncultured bacterium
Lineage: Bacteria
Description: bacterial SSU rRNA
Rfam family: Bacterial small subunit ribosomal RNA
Source: RNAcentral